This 82-nucleotide transfer RNA is filed under the name Dierogekko insularis. RNAcentral's name for it is "tRNA-Ala". The record is from RNAcentral. Lineage: Eukaryota; Metazoa; Chordata; Lepidosauria; Squamata; Diplodactylidae.
GAAGGCCUGUAUAAUUUUAAUAUACAUCUCCUGAAUGCAACUCAAACACUUUAACUAAGCUAANKACCUCCUAUAUCGAUGG